GAGCAAUGUCAGCCGAGUUUAAGGCAAAGAGGGAGAAAAUGUGGGCACCUGAAGGUAAAUUAAAUAUUUAUAAACACAACAGCAUCACUGCAGAUAGAAUUACUGAUUUAUUAAUAAUUUCAAUAGAAAGCCAGUGGGUGACAUCAGCAUAAGUCAUUGCUCCAGCUCUGAGGCAUGAUAUGGCCCAUUACUUCCAGCUCCAAACAGAUCUGCUAACACGAAGUUGGCAGGGAUUGUACGUUAAAUUAAGGUUGGACUGGUACACGUUUCCCUUGAUCUUGGUGGGGAUACAACCCGGAGCUGCUGCCCUCGACUAGCAGGGGAAUGCAGAGCAGAGGCCUCCCUCCCACUCUCCCCACAGCCAGGCUGCCUAGAACGAAGCAGCCCGUCUGCCCAGGGCCAGCAGCCUCCGGGACUUGGACGUAAAGGAGUUGACACCUGUGACCACAGACACUACCCUUGGCCUUGAGAGAAAAGGAGGCACCAACACCAAAAACCGGAAGCAGAGCAGUUAGCAUCGAAAACACCACCGUGUCACGCAGCCAGAAGGCCCGAGGCCCUGGUGGAGACCAAGCCUCACAGAACAGCCACUACCGAGAGGCAGCCGGUGACGGACGCCAGGAGACUAGCCUGCACCCGGGACCAGGGAAGAAGCAGCCCACGGCAAGAACAGCUCCCCCACCGUCCAGGUUGCUGUCAUCGGUUUCCACUACAGAAAUCACAAAUUAAGUCACUGACCAACCAGCACAUGUCCUCUGUCCCUAAGCCUUGCCCUCAGGGCCUUGCUGCAGGGGGUGCCACCUCCUUUGGUGAGUCCUCGGUAUUUCCCAAUAUAUCUGGCUAUACUCCCUGGUGUGUGGGUGCAACACCCCGAGUUCUGAUUGCCUGGUGGUUUGGAUAAUAUCCCAUCCGACCACAGAAGGACAAGACUAUGCCAUCACUGAUGUAUCUCCGGGACUUUCAGUGUCCUGGGGCCAGAGAGGUUUCUCAUAAAUGUGUGUGACACAGAUGGCUGGAGGAGCGGGCGGAUGGCGGGAAGGGGGUGGGCUUGG
Molecule: long non-coding RNA, 1052 nt
Filed under: Marmota monax (woodchuck)
Lineage: Eukaryota; Metazoa; Chordata; Mammalia; Rodentia; Sciuridae
Source: RNAcentral